Molecule: long non-coding RNA, 1044 nt
Organism: Cydia splendana
Lineage: Eukaryota; Metazoa; Arthropoda; Insecta; Lepidoptera; Tortricidae
Exons: 3
Source: RefSeq, a predicted model, not a curated record
GAUAUACUUAAGAGAAGGUAUAGGUACACGGUACGCGGAAUUUUUUCAUAGGAAGAAUUCUUUGACAUCGCGCCUGGCCAUUUGUAAGAGGUAAUUUUCAUAGUUAAUUGAACUUAACAGAUUAAACGUGAAAAGGUAACAAAUUAAACGUAAAAGGUACUAAAUCCUGGCGUAAUAACAAUAGUUGUAGCGUAGCGUUUUUUCUUAAAAACGAAAUCGAUACGGUGAAAAAUCGAAGCGCCUGUAAAAUUGUAAUAGCAAUGUAAAGUGUAAAAUGAGUAAAACUCGGAAACCACAAAUAAUGUGGCUCAAUUUAUAAAUGAAUAUGAAAGUACUAAAAAGGUACUAAAAUUUGGCUUUUAUAGAAUUUAUCAAUAAUCGCGGGAUCAUUGCGUAAUAAAAUACACCCGCCAUUCUGACUGUCAGAAUGGCGGGUGUAAUGUUUUUUGGGUUCCGUAGCCAAAUGGCAAAAAACGGAACCCUUAUGGAUUCGUCAUGUCUGUUUGUCUGUCUGUCUGUCUGUCUGUCUGUCUGUCUGUCUGUCUGUCUGCCUGCCUGUCUGUCUGUCUGUCUGUCUGUCCGUCCGUAUGUCAUAGCCACUUUUUUCCGAAACUAUAAGAACUAUGCUGUUGAAACAUGGUAAGUAGAAGUAUUCUGUAAACCGCAUUAAGAUUUUCACACAAAAAUAGAAAAAAAAAAAAUUUUGGGGGUUGCCCAUACUUAGAACUAACUGAAUCUCAAAAAUUUUUUUUCAUCAAAUCCAUACGUGUGGGGUAUUCAUGGAUAGGUCUUCAAAAAUGAUAUUGAGGUUUCUAAUAUUAUUUUUUUCUAAACUGUAUAGUUUGCAUAGUUUACGCGAGAGACACUUCCAAAGUGGUAAAAUGUAUCCCCCCCCCCCCCUGUAACUUCUAAAAUAAGAGAAUGAUAAAACUAAAAAAAUAUAUGAUGUACAUUACCAUGCAAACUUCCAAGGAAAAUUAGUUUGAACGAGAUCUAGUAAGUAGUUUUUUUUUAAUACGUCAUAAAUCAUACGGAACCCUUCAA